UGAUUAUACCCAGAACCAUAGAUCUAGUUCUGAUUAUACCCAGAACCAUAGAUACAGUUCUGAUUAUACCCAGAACCAUAGAUACAGUUCUGAUUAUACCCAGAACCAUAGAUACAGUUCUGAUUAGACCCAGAACCAUAGAUACAGUUCUGAUUAUACCCAGAACCAUAGAUACAGUUCUGAUUAGACCCCUCUCCCCAAACAGUGUUAGAACUAUCAAUUUGAUAUCAUGGAUGGUCAGUCCUUGCAUCCAUAGCUCUGUCUUAUGAAUUUGAGAGUGUUUACAAAUCUCCAACCCCAUCGCUCAGCUUUUAACCAACACAGUGGUGGGGUGGACACGUUGUUAUUGUUUCAACUGCAGAUUGCCCCUUGACGGGUUUAGAUUGUGGCUCCAAAGCAGCACUCCAGUCAACGUGACUGCUUGGUGCCUACGCUGCCCAAAUGGCCCCCUGCCCAAAUGGCCCCCUAUACUUACCCCACAUAGGACUCUGUUCAGAAGUAGUGCACUAUAUAGGGAAUAGGGCUCUGGUCUAUAGUAGUACCACUAUAUAAGGAAUAGGGCUCUGGUCUAAAGUAGUACACUAUAUAGGGAAUAGGGCUCUGGUCUAUAGUAGUACCACUAUAUAGGGAAUAGGGCUCUGGUCUAUAGUAGUACCACUAUAUAGGGAAUAGGGCUCUGGUCUAUAGUAGUACCACUAUAUAGGGAAUAGGACUCUGGUCUAUAGUAGUAACACUAUAUAGGGAAUAGGGCUCUGGUCUAUAGUAGUACCACUAUAUAGGGAAUAGGGCUCUGGUCUAUAGUAGUACACCUAUAUAGGGAAUAGGGCUCUGGUCUAUAGUAGUACACCUAUAUAGGGGAUAAUAGGGUGCCAUUUUUCAUGCACACUUCGAUCCCAGUUUCAUUGAGAUUCAGCCCCAACCACUUAAAUCCAUUGUGUUCAUAGAUAAAGCUCUGGUUUAAUUUUGUUUAGGAAAUGAUCUUUUUAAAUCUGAUUGCCAAAUAAUAAGGUGAUUUGUAUUUUGCGAUAUGCCACUUAUUACAAGACACGUAAAUACACCUGUGCUAGUUACUGAACAUGUACCCGCAGACAGAGAACAGUGUUGUUUUCAGACGGUCUCUUCUGUAGAUACCAAGUCCCGUGAGUCAUGUAGAACUUGUAUAGGCCUGUUUGGGGAACCCCGGGUUGGGGGCAGAACUUGUGUGUAGAGAGUGAACAUACUUUAAUUGGCAGUACAUGAUAUAUAUUUUAAGACACACAGCUUUGUCUGUUCAUGUAGGUCUGGCCCAGAGAACGACUACUGUUGUCUAAUGUCCUCCUUCAUGUUGGUCUGGCUCAGAGAACGACUACUGUUGUCUAAUGUCCUCCUUCAUGUUGGUCUGGCUCAGAGAACGACUACUGUUGUCUAAUGUCCUCCUUCAUGUUGGUCUGACUCAGAGAACGACUACUGUUGUCUAAUGUCCUCCUUCAUGUUGGUCUGGCUCAGAGAACGACUACUGUUGUCUAAUGUCCUCCUUCAUGUUGGUCUGGCUCAGAGAACGACUACUGUUGUCUAAUGUCCUCCUUCAUGUUGGUCUGACUCAGAGAACGACUACUGUUGUCUAAUGUCCUCCUUCAUGUUGGUCUGACUCAGAGAACGACUACUGUUGUCUAAUGUCCUCCUUCAUGUUGGUCUGGCUCAGAGAACGACUACUGUUGUCUAAUGUCCUCCUUCAUGUUGGUCUGGCUCAGAGAACGACUACUGUUGUCUAAUGUCCUCCUUCAUGUUGGUCUGGCUCAGAGAACGACUACUGUUGUCUAAUGUCCUCCUUCAUGUUGGUCUGGCUCAGAGAACGACUACUGUUGUCUAAUGUCCUCCUUCAUGUUGGUCUGGCUCAGAGAACGACUACUGUUGUCUAAUGUCCUCCUUCAUGUUGGUCUGACUCAGAGAACGACUACUGUUGUCUAAUGUCCUCCUUCAUGUUGGUCUGGCUCAGAGAACGACUACUGUUGUCUAAUGUCCUCCUUCAUGUUGGUCUGGCUCAGAGAACGACUACUGUUGUCUAAUGUCCUCCUUCAUGUUGGUCUGGCUCAGAGAACGACUACUGUUGUCUAAUGUCCUCCUUCAUGUAGGUCCGGCUCAGAGACUGUUGUCUAAUGUCCUCCUUCAUGUUGGUCUGGCUCAGAGAACGACUACUGUUGUCUAAUGUCCUCCUUCAUGUUGGUCUGGCUCAGAGAACGACUACUGUUGUCUAAUGUCCUCCUUCAUGUUGGUCUGGCUCAGAGAACGACUACUGUUGUCUAAUGUCCUCCUUCAUGUUGGUCUGGCUCAGAGAACGACUACUGUUGUCUAAUGUCCUCCUUCAUGUUGGUCUGGCUCAGAGAACGACUACUGUUGUCUAAUGUCCUCCUUCAUGUUGGUCUGGCUCAGAGAACGACUACUGUUGUCUAAUGUCCUCCUUCAUGUAGGUCUGGCUCAGAGAACGACUACUGUUGUCUAAUGUCCUCCUUCAUGUUGGUCUGGCUCAGAGAACGACUACUGUUGUCUAAUGUCCUCCUUCAUGUUGGUCUGACUCAGAGAACGACUACUGUUGUCUAAUGUCCUCCUUCAUGUAGGUCUGGGUCAUGUUCAUAUUGGUGCAAAACAGAAGAAAAAACCCCAGAGUGAAACAGUGAGGUACUUACCUGUUCAAUAAGAAACGCUCAUGUCAGUUUUUUCCUGUUGCGUUCCCUGAUGAACACACCACUGGUUCUGUACUAAUAUAUGUUGUAUUAAAGGACAAUAACACUGGUUUUGUUCUGUACUAAUAUAUGUUGUAGUAAAGGACAAUAACACUGGUUUUGUUCUGUAGUAAUAUGUUGUAUUAAAGGACAAUAACACUGGUUUUGUUCUGUACUAAUAUAUGUUGUAUUAAAGGACAAUAACACUGGUUUUGUUCUGUACUAAUAUGUUGUAUUAAAGGACAAUAACACUG
Molecule: long non-coding RNA, 2953 nt
Organism: Oncorhynchus nerka (sockeye salmon)
Lineage: Eukaryota; Metazoa; Chordata; Actinopteri; Salmoniformes; Salmonidae
Exons: 2
Source: RefSeq, a predicted model, not a curated record